RNAcentral lists this ribosomal RNA (1376 nucleotides) under uncultured bacterium. RNAcentral's name for it is "bacterial SSU rRNA". It matches the Rfam family "Bacterial small subunit ribosomal RNA", at positions 18 to 1390 of the family's 1533-position model. The record is from RNAcentral.
CCUGGCUCAGGAUGAACGCUAGCUACAGGCUUAACACAUGCAAGUCGAGGGGCAGCAUGGUCUUAGCUUGCUAAGGCCGAUGGCGACCGGCGCACGGGUGAGUAACACGUAUCCAACCUGCCGUCUACUCUUGGACAGCCUUCUGAAAGGAAGAUUAAUACAAGAUGGCAUCAUGAGUCCGCAUGUUCACAUGAUUAAAGGUAUUCCGGUAGACGAUGGGGAUGCGUUCCAUUAGAUAGUAGGCGGGGUAACGGCCCACCUAGUCUUCGAUGGAUAGGGGUUCUGAGAGGAAGGUCCCCCACAUUGGAACUGAGACACGGUCCAAACUCCUACGGGAGGCAGCAGUGAGGAAUAUUGGUCAAUGGGCGAGAGCCUGAACCAGCCAAGUAGCGUGAAGGAUGACUGCCCUAUGGGUUGUAAACUUCUUUUAUAAAGGAAUAAAGUCGGGUAUGGAUACCCGUUUGCAUGUACUUUAUGAAUAAGGAUCGGCUAACUCCGUGCCAGCAGCCGCGGUAAUACGGAGGAUCCGAGCGUUAUCCGGAUUUAUUGGGUUUAAAGGGAGCGUAGAUGGAUGUUUAAGUCAGUUGUGAAAGUUUGCGGCUCAACCGUAAAAUUGCAGUUGAUACUGGAUAUCUUGAGUGCAGUUGAGGCAGGCGGAAUUCGUGGUGUAGCGGUGAAAUGCUUAGAUAUCACGAAGAACUCCGAUUGCGAAGGCAGCCUGCUAAGCUGCAACUGACAUUGAGGCUCGAAAGUGUGGGUAUCAAACAGGAUUAGAUACCCUGGUAGUCCACACGGUAAACGAUGAAUACUCGCUGUUUGCGAUAUACAGCAAGCGGCCAAGCGAAAGCGUUAAGUAUUCCACCUGGGGAGUACGCCGGCAACGGUGAAACUCAAAGGAAUUGACGGGGGCCCGCACAAGCGGAGGAACAUGUGGUUUAAUUCGAUGAUACGCGAGGAACCUUACCCGGGCUUAAAUUGCAGAUGAAUUACGGUGAAAGCCGUAAGCCGCAAGGCAUCUGUGAAGGUGCUGCAUGGUUGUCGUCAGCUCGUGCCGUGAGGUGUCGGCUUAAGUGCCAUAACGAGCGCAACCCUUGUUGUCAGUUACUAACAGGUUCCGCUGAGGACUCUGACAAGACUGCCAUCGUAAGAUGUGAGGAAGGUGGGGAUGACGUCAAAUCAGCACGGCCCUUACGUCCGGGGCUACACACGUGUUACAAUGGGGGGUACAGAGGGCCGCUACCACGCGAGUGGAUGCCAAUCCCCAAAACCUCUCUCAGUUCGGACUGGAGUCUGCAACCCGACUCCACGAAGCUGGAUUCGCUAGUAAUCGCGCAUCAGCCACGGCGCGGUGAAUACGUUCCCGGGCCUUUACACAC